Molecule: ribosomal RNA, 486 nt
Filed under: uncultured bacterium
Lineage: Bacteria
Description: partial 16S ribosomal RNA
Rfam family: Bacterial small subunit ribosomal RNA
Source: RNAcentral
AUUGAACGCUGGCGGCAUGCCUUACACAUGCAAGUCGAACGGCAGCACGGGUGCUUGCACCUGGUGGCGAGUGGCGAACGGGUGAGUAAUACAUCGGAACAUGUCCUGUAGUGGGGGAUAGCCCGGCGAAAGCCGGAUUACUACCGCAUACGAUCCACGGAUGAAAGCGGGGGACCUUCGGGCCUCGCGCUAUAGGGUUGGCCGAUGGCUGAUUAGCUAGUUGGUGGGGUAAAGGCCUACCAAGGCGACGAUCAGUAGCUGGUCUGAGAGGACGACCAGCCACACUGGGACUGAGACACGGCCCAGACUCCUACGGGAGGCAGCAGUGGGGAAUUUUGGACAAUGGGCGAAAGCCUGAUCCAGCAAUGCCGCGUGUGUGAAGAAGGCCUUCGGGUUGUAAAGCACUUUUGUCCGGAAAGAAAUCCUGGACUCUAAUACAGUCGGGGGAUGACGGUACCGGAAGAAUAAGCACCGGCUAACUACGUG